AGGGAGUAUUGAGUUAUUCGGAAUUCAGCCCCGGCACUUAUAAACGUGUCAAAAGCGAUAUUCCAUAUUUUUUAUUUAAAAUAAUAAUUAUCGACUUUUUUAUAUUCAGUGUUACGCUAAAUAACGGGAUUCGGCACCCUAAAUGUGAGGGUCGCGGGGAACCUGGAGCCUAUCCCAGGGAGCAUGGGGUACAAGGUGGGGUACAAGGCAGGGUACACCCUGGACAGGGUGCCAAUCCAUCGCAAUGCACAAUCACAUACACAUUCACACACCCAUUCAUACAUUACGGACACUUUUGACAUGCCAAUCAGACUACCAUGUAUGUCUUUGGACUGGGGGAGGAAACCGGAGUACCCGGAGGAAACCCCCGCAGUACAGGGAGAACAUGCAAACUCCGUACACACAGGGCAGCGAUGGGAAUCGAACCCCCAACCCUGGCGGUGUGAGGCGUAACCACUAAACGUUGAUAACAGGUGACCUGUCCAUAGCAGGUGCCUUUCCCGUGUUAUUACCAUGACAGUGAAUACAGGAGCAUUGUCUGAAACACUGAAACCUCUGAUUAAAAAAUUAUAAUAAUUAAGAAAGAAAAGAAGAAAGCAAAGACUACUAAGUAGUUCAUAAUAAGUAGUUGAUUUAUUUUCAAAACAUGUUAAGCUUGAAUAUCAAUAACAUGCUUUUAUAUGGCUAUCAUUUAGCUUUUAUCAUAAUAGAAAAUAAUAGAUUAUAAAUUACUUCAUAUAGUUAAGUCUUUGAUCAUGGUUCAUGGUUUGAUCAAACUACUAAGUAUUUGCAAAACAGUCGAACCAAGCACUAUCAUUUCUGUUAGGAAUGAAGACAAAGUUUAAAAUGAAGAACAAAGAAGUGCUUGGGUGGGACAAACAAUAUGGUGAUCAGUGAUUCAUUACUGGGAAAUAGUGAUGAUGGGACCAGCAGUGGUCAGUUAUUGGUCACUGGAAUACAAUGCUGAUCAGUGGUUUGUCAUUGAGACUAAUGGUGUUCAGUGAGUUCAAACCCAAGCACUGCCAAGCUGCCACUGUUGGGCCCUUGAGCAAGGCCCUUAACCCUCAACUGCUCAGAUGUUUAAAUGAGAUAAAUAUAGUCGCUCAGGAUAUGGGUGUCUGCCAAAUGCCAUAAAUGUAAAUUAAUGGUCACUGGAAACAAUGGUCAUCAGUGGUUUGUCAUUGAAACCAGUGGUGGUCAGUGAUUGCUCAUUGAGACCAGUCAUGAUCAGUGAUUGGUCAUAGAGACUAGUGGUGAUCAGUGAUUUGGUUGUUGGGAAACAAUUAUGAACAGUGAUUUGAUAUUGGGAAUACAGGCUUGUACAAGUGCAAGUCAGUCAGGCUUUACACACUGGGGUACAAUUUGCUAAUGUCUGCUUAAAAAGGGACUAGAAUUGUCAAAAGGCUCUAUUUUGAAAUAAAGUCACUAAAGGAUCUAAAGUCACCAACUCUAAUGACAAAGUCAUUAAGUUGGCUAAACAGUGCAGUCCUGUAGUUGAACACAACACCACAGAAUAAAAAUUAUAAAUGAUAAUGUUUUUAUAAAAAAUUAUAAUGUUUAUAUUAAAGUUAAUAGAAUAAAAAUACUUGGUAAGUCUGGUAAAGUUUACUAACAUUAACCACUAGCUAACCUAGCUAUCAUGACUUAACAAACUGUGUGUUCAACUAUAGCUUGUAACAUGGAAUUUCCAACCUCUGACUAUGGAAAACUAAAGAAAACAUCCCCUCAAUUUGGAAUUCUUACUUGGAAAGUGG
Long non-coding RNA from Ictalurus punctatus (channel catfish), 1754 nucleotides. RefSeq lists it as uncharacterized. Lineage: Eukaryota; Metazoa; Chordata; Actinopteri; Siluriformes; Ictaluridae. The transcript has 2 exons. The record is from RefSeq and is a predicted model, not a curated record.